RNAcentral lists this ribosomal RNA (2126 nucleotides) under Salmonella enterica subsp. enterica serovar Enteritidis. RNAcentral describes it as "partial 23S ribosomal RNA". It matches the Rfam family "Bacterial large subunit ribosomal RNA", at positions 711 to 2818 of the family's 2925-position model. The record is from RNAcentral. Lineage: Bacteria; Pseudomonadati; Pseudomonadota; Gammaproteobacteria; Enterobacterales; Enterobacteriaceae.
AGACCCGAAACCCGGUGAUCUAGCCAUGGGCAGGUUGAAGGUUGGGUAACACUAACUGGAGGACCGAACCGACUAAUGUUGAAAAAUUAGCGGAUGACCUGUGGCUGGGGGUGAAAGGCCAAUCAAACCGGGAGAUAGCUGGUUCUCCCCGAAAGCUAUUUAGGUAGCGCCUCGUGAAUUCAUCUCCGGGGGUAGAGCACUGUUUCGGCUAGGGGGCCAUCCCGGCUUACCAACCCGAUGCAAACUGCGAAUACCGGAGAAUGUUAUCACGGGAGACACACGGCGGGUGCUAACGUCCGUCGUGAAGAGGGAAACAACCCAGACCGCCAGCUAAGGUCCCAAAGUCAUGGUUAAGUGGGAAACGAUGUGGGAAGGCCCAGACAGCCAGGAUGUUGGCUUAGAAGCAGCCAUCAUUUAAAGAAAGCGUAAUAGCUCACUGGUCGAGUCGGCCUGCGCGGAAGAUGUAACGGGGCUAAACCAUGCACCGAAGCUGCGGCAGCGACACUGUGUGUUGUUGGGUAGGGGAGCGUUCUGUAAGCCUGUGAAGGUGUGUCGUGAGGCAUGCUGGAGGUAUCAGAAGUGCGAAUGCUGACAUAAGUAACGAUAAAGCGGGUGAAAAGCCCGCUCGCCGGAAGACCAAGGGUUCCUGUCCAACGUUAAUCGGGGCAGGGUGAGUCGACCCCUAAGGCGAGGCCGAAAGGCGUAGUCGAUGGGAAACGGGUUAAUAUUCCCGUACUUGGUGUUACUGCGAAGGGGGGACGGAGAAGGCUAUGUUGGCCGGGCGACGGUUGUCCCGGUUUAAGCGUGUAGGUGUGUGUUCCAGGUAAAUCCGGUUCACUUUAACACUGAGGCGUGACGACGAGGCACUACGGUGCUGAAGCAACAAAUGCCCUGCUUCCAGGAAAAGCCUCUAAGCAUCAGGUAACAUCAAAUCGUACCCCAAACCGACACAGGUGGUCAGGUAGAGAAUACCAAGGCGCUUGAGAGAACUCGGGUGAAGGAACUAGGCAAAAUGGUGCCGUAACUUCGGGAGAAGGCACGCUGACACGUAGGUGAAGUGAUUUACUCAUGGAGCUGAAGUCAGUCGAAGAUACCAGCUGGCUGCAACUGUUUAUUAAAAACACAGCACUGUGCAAACACGAAAGUGGACGUAUACGGUGUGACGCCUGCCCGGUGCCGGAAGGUUAAUUGAUGGGGUCAGCGCAAGCGAAGCUCCUGAUCGAAGCCCCGGUAAACGGCGGCCGUAACUAUAACGGUCCUAAGGUAGCGAAAUUCCUUGUCGGGUAAGUUCCGACCUGCACGAAUGGCGUAAUGAUGGCCAGGCUGUCUCCACCCGAGACUCAGUGAAAUUGAACUCGCUGUGAAGAUGCAGUGUACCCGCGGCAAGACGGAAAGACCCCGUGAACCUUUACUAUAGCUUGACACUGAACAUUGAGCCUUGAUGUGUAGGAUAGGUGGGAGGCUUUGAAGUGUGGACGCCAGUCUGCAUGGAGCCGACCUUGAAAUACCACCCUUUAAUGUUUGAUGUUCUAACGUGGACCCGUUACCCGGGUUGCGGACAGUGUCUGGUGGGUAGUUUGACUGGGGCGGUCUCCUCCUAAAGAGUAACGGAGGAGCACGAAGGUUGGCUAAUCCUGGUCGGACAUCAGGAGGUUAGUGCAAUGGCAUAAGCCAGCUUGACUGCGAGCGUGACGGCGCGAGCAGGUGCGAAAGCAGGUCAUAGUGAUCCGGUGGUUCUGAAUGGAAGGGCCAUCGCUCAACGGAUAAAAGGUACUCCGGGGAUAACAGGCUGAUACCGCCCAAGAGUUCAUAUCGACGGCGGUGUUUGGCACCUCGAUGUCGGCUCAUCACAUCCUGGGGCUGAAGUAGGUCCCAAGGGUAUGGCUGUUCGCCAUUUAAAGUGGUACGCGAGCUGGGUUUAGAACGUCGUGAGACAGUUCGGUCCCUAUCUGCCGUGGGCGCUGGAGAACUGAGGGGGGCUGCUCCUAGUACGAGAGGACCGGAGUGGACGCAUCACUGGUGUUCGGGUUGUCAUGCCAAUGGCACUGCCCGGUAGCUAAAUGCGGAAGAGAUAAGUGCUGAAAGCAUCUAAGCACGAAACUUGCCCCGAGAUGAGUUCUCCCUGA